GAUUAAAUGGCUGAUAAAAGUAAUAGAUUGUAAAUCUAUAAAUAAGAAAAAAAGAAUUCUUUUUAAUCA
RNAcentral lists this transfer RNA (69 nucleotides) under Phaenopsectra flavipes. Its description in RNAcentral is "tRNA-Tyr". It matches the Rfam family "tRNA". Rfam says of the family: Transfer RNA (tRNA) molecules are approximately 80 nucleotides in length. The record is from RNAcentral. Lineage: Eukaryota; Metazoa; Arthropoda; Insecta; Diptera; Chironomidae.